This 482-nucleotide ribosomal RNA is filed under the name uncultured bacterium. RNAcentral describes it as "partial 16S ribosomal RNA". It matches the Rfam family "Bacterial small subunit ribosomal RNA", at positions 30 to 505 of the family's 1533-position model. The record is from RNAcentral.
AUUGAACGCUGGCGGCAGGCCUAACACAUGCAAGUCGAGCGGAUGAAGGGAGCUUGCUCCUGGAUUCAGCGGCGGACGGGUGAGUAAUGCCUAGGAAUCUGCCUGGUAGUGGGGGAUAACGUCCGGAAACGGGCGCUAAUACCGCAUACGUCCUGAGGGAGAAAGUGGGGGAUCUUCGGACCUCACGCUAUCAGAUGAGCCUAGGUCGGAUUAGCUAGUUGGUGGGGUAAAGGCCUACCAAGGCGACGAUCCGUAACUGGUCUGAGAGGAUGAUCAGUCACACUGGAAAGGAGACACGGUCCAGACCACUCCGGGAGCAGGCAGGGGGGAAUAGUGGACAAGGGGCGAAAGCCUUAUCCAGCCAUGCCGGGUGUGUGAAGAAGGUCUUUGGAUUGGAAAGCACUUUAAGUUGGGAGAAAGGGCAGUAAGUUAAUACCUUGCUGUUUUGACGUGACCAAAAAAAUAAGCACCGGCUAACUUCG